GAUUAACGCUGGCGGCGUGCCUAACACAUGCAAGUCGAACGAAAGAACUAUUUGGAGAGAAACCAGUUCUCCCCUCAAAAGGGAACAGGCGUUUCCCCUCAUAGUUCUUUAGUGGCGGACGGGUGAGUAACACGUUGGUACCUGCCCUCUAGUGGGGAAUAACUGGCCGAAAGGUCGGCUAAUACCGCAUGUGAUCUUCGGAUCAAAGCAGCAAUGCGCUAGAGGAGGGGCCUGCGUCNGAUUAGCUUGUUGGUAGUGUAAUGGACUACCAAGGCGACGAUCAGUAGCUGGUUCGAGAGGAUGACCAGCCACACUGGGACUGAGAUACGGCCCAGACUCCUACGGGAGGCAGCAGUGAGGAAUCUUCCGCAAUGGACGAAAGUCUGAUGGAGCAACGCCGCGUGCAGGAUGA
RNAcentral lists this ribosomal RNA (412 nucleotides) under uncultured bacterium. RNAcentral describes it as "bacterial SSU rRNA". It matches the Rfam family "Bacterial small subunit ribosomal RNA", at positions 28 to 411 of the family's 1533-position model. The record is from RNAcentral.